This 62-nucleotide transfer RNA is filed under the name Robertsicus elaphensis. RNAcentral describes it as "tRNA-Ala". Lineage: Eukaryota; Metazoa; Arthropoda; Arachnida; Ixodida; Ixodidae. The record is from RNAcentral.
AGAAAAGUAUUUAAAAUUAAUAAACUCUAAUUUGCAUUUAGGAAUUGAGAUAUCCUUUUCUA